This 478-nucleotide ribosomal RNA is filed under the name uncultured bacterium. Its description in RNAcentral is "partial 16S ribosomal RNA". It matches the Rfam family "Bacterial small subunit ribosomal RNA", at positions 28 to 523 of the family's 1533-position model. The record is from RNAcentral.
GACGAACGCUGGCGGCGUGCUUAACACAUGCAAGUCGAGCGAUGAAGCUCCUUCGGGAGUGGAUUAGCGGCGGACGGGUGAGUAACACGUGGGUAACCUGCCUCAUAGAGGGGAAUAGCCUUCCGAAAGGAAGAUUAAUACCGCAUAAGAUUGUAGUACCGCAUGGUACAGCAAUUAAAGGAGUAAUCCGCUAUGAGAUGGACCCGCGUCGCAUUAGCUAGUUGGUGAGGUAACGGCUCACCAAGGCGACGAUGCGUAGCCGACCUGAGAGGGGGAUCGGCCACAUUGGGACUGAGACACGGCCCAGACUCCUACGGGAGGCAGCAGUGGGGAAUAUUGCACAAUGGGGGAAACCCUGAUGCAGCAACGCCGCGUGAGUGAUGACGGUCUUCGGAUUGUAAAACUCUGUCUUCAGGGACGAUAAUGACGGUACCUGAGGAGGAAGCCACGGCUAACUACGUGCCAGCAGCCGCCGUAA